Molecule: long non-coding RNA, 280 nt
Filed under: Coturnix japonica (Japanese quail)
Lineage: Eukaryota; Metazoa; Chordata; Aves; Galliformes; Phasianidae
Description: lncRNA (ENSCJPG00005007063.1)
Source: RNAcentral
UGUGUACAAUUCACAAAUCUAUUUGGCACUGACUUAGUUGUUUUAUAUUUCUCUUUCUUUUUUUUCCCCCUAGAUAAUUUUGAUGCAAAAUACAGAGCAGGAUACCUGUAAAUCACUUCUGAGGAGGACUAUGGCCCCAGAGCUCAUAGCAUUUCCUGACUACAUACGGUUUCAGAACAGUUUAAUUCAGUGUAUGUCUACAUUUCCACUGCAUGUCCCUCAAAUGAGACGUGUGUGGGAAGGAGAAGGAAGAUCUCUACAUCAUCCUUGCUUCCUAUGA